GGAGAGGUGCCGGAGUGGUCGAACGGGGCGGUCUCGAAAACCGUUGAGCACGCAAGUGUUCCGAGGGUUCGAAUCCCUCUCUCUCCGCCA
Molecule: transfer RNA, 90 nt
Filed under: Hyphococcus flavus
Lineage: Bacteria; Pseudomonadati; Pseudomonadota; Alphaproteobacteria; Parvularculales; Parvularculaceae
Description: tRNA-Ser
Rfam family: tRNA
About the family: Transfer RNA (tRNA) molecules are approximately 80 nucleotides in length. Their secondary structure includes four short double-helical elements and three loops (D, anti-codon, and T loops). Further hydrogen bonds mediate the characteristic L-shaped molecular structure. tRNAs have two regions of fundamental functional importance: the anti-codon, which is responsible for specific mRNA codon recognition, and the 3' end, to which the tRNAs corresponding amino acid is attached (by aminoacyl-tRNA synthetases). tRNAs cope with the degeneracy of the genetic code in two manners: having more than one tRNA (with a specific anti-codon) for a particular amino acid; and 'wobble' base-pairing, i.e. permitting non-standard base-pairing at the 3rd anti-codon position.
Source: RNAcentral